This 944-nucleotide ribosomal RNA is filed under the name uncultured organism. RNAcentral describes it as "bacterial SSU rRNA". It matches the Rfam family "Bacterial small subunit ribosomal RNA", at positions 470 to 1428 of the family's 1533-position model. The record is from RNAcentral.
UGACGGUACCGUAGGAAUAAGCAUCGGCUAACUCCGUGCCAGCAGCCGCGGUAAUACGGAGGAUGCGAGCGUUAUCCGUAAUUAUUGGGCGUAAAGAGUCCGUAGGCGUUUUGUUAAGUAGAAUAUCAAAGACCAGAGCUCAACUCUGGGCCGGUGUUCUAAACUGGCGAAAUUGAGUUAUGCAGAGGCAAGUGGAAUUCUGUGUGUAGGGGUUAUAUCCGUAGAUAUACAGAGGAACACCAAAAGCGAAGGCAGCUUGCUGGGCAUAUACUGACGCUCAAGGACGAAAGCGUGGGGAGCGAACAGGAUUAGAUACCCUGGUAGUCCACGCCCUAAACGAUGAUUACUCGUUGUCGGAGGCUUCGACCCCUUCGGUGACUAAGCUAACGCUUUAAGUAAUCCGCCUGGGUAGUACGGCCGCAAGGUUAAAACUCGAAGGAAUAGACGGGGACCCACACAAGCGGUGGAGCAUCUGGCUUAAUUCGACAAUAAGCGAAAAACCUCACCAAGAUUUGACAUCCCGAGAAGAUUGCCGAAAGGUGAUUGUGCCGUAAGGAACUCGGUGACAGGUGCUGCAUGGUUGUCGUCAGCUCGUGCCUUGAGGUGUUCGGUUAAGUCCGUAAACGAGCGCAACCCAUGUCUUAAGUUGUAUUUUUCUUAAGAGACUGCCGGCUUCAAGUCGGAGGAAGGUAUGGAUGACGUCAAAUCAGCAUGGCCCUUAUAUCUUGGGCUACACAGGUGCUACAAUGGCCGGUACAAAAGGCUGCGAAGGGGUAACCCUGAGCCAAUCCCUAAAACCGGUCCAAGUUCGGAUUGAGGGCUGAAAUUCGCCCUCAUGAAGCUGGAAUCGCUAGUAAACGUGAAUCAGCAUGUCACGUUGAAUACGUUCCUGGGUCUUGUACUCACCGCCCGCCAAGUCAUGAAAGAUGGGGGCGCCCGAAGUC